Molecule: long non-coding RNA, 1118 nt
Organism: Daphnia pulicaria
Lineage: Eukaryota; Metazoa; Arthropoda; Branchiopoda; Diplostraca; Daphniidae
Exons: 7
Source: RefSeq, a predicted model, not a curated record
AAGUUUGGAAUAGAAGUAUGGCACAUAAGUUGUAACCGCCAGGUUAAUCAUUUCAUCUGUGUCAACAGUUAUGAGUCAACGUUAAGCUAGCUUCGAAAAUUACCAAUGAAAUCAUAGGUAAACUCGAGUGAUUUCGCCUGUAACUUGUCGGUGAUGUGUUUUAUUCCGUGUAUAUGUUGGAUAACCUUAAUGUUUUUCAUCAACUCACAGUCAGAGUAAACGUGAAAGUCGUGCAACCUACCGUCAACUAUUUAGUUCAAACUCAUUGUAUUCCACUGAAUGUGUCAUCGAAAUCAUACAGAUCACCGACCCCAGCAUCAUGGACCAAUCUCUCAUUCCAUCUUCUAGAGAAUCUUGGAUAACUGAUUCAUGGUUUCAUGUUUUCGAAAUUGGCAUGACUGACUUUAUGAGAAGUUAUGUCCUUUCAAGAAAAAGGACUUACACUUACAGUCAACAAGAUUCCUUGUUUGCUAACCCGUUAUUGGCUGCUACCCUUGAAUCUCCCUAUAUGUCAACAACAAAAAAAGAGGUUAAAUAUUGUGAUCAUGCUAUCAUCAUUAUGUUGCCUAUAAGACCAAAUGUGGGGCAUCUGGUUAUCCCUCCAAAAUAAGGCAAUGACCACACGUUGAACGCGGAUCAUUCGUUUCGUCAUCGAUCUUGACUCAUUCCAUCUUCUGGAUUGCUUAGGAAAGCUGAUUGGUGUUAAAUACCUGUCAUUUAGGUAAUGGCCGAGGAGAUGCGACCUACAUGAACAUCAUUUAGGCGGCCAGCAUCAUUCGACUACCCAACCGGCUUCUACUACCCUGCUCUCAACAUAGCACGGAGUUUCACCCUUUAGAUUUUUGCCUGCUGUUCGCGAUGUGUGAUGGCGUUUCCUUGGAUGAGAUGAUGAUUUUGGCGAGAAAAAUAGUGCGUUUUAACCUUCAGCUUUCUAAAUUUGCAUGACAGACUUUAUAUGAAAAGUAAUGUUCUUUUAAGAAAGUCAACUUCCUUGUUUGCUAACCCAAUGGCUGCUACCCUUGAAUCUCCCUAUUUAGCUUCUUACACAGUCCCUCUUGAUUUGAGGGUGAUCCUUCGCUACUGAUCAUGGACUCAAUUGGUGAAACUGAAAACCGACG